Molecule: ribosomal RNA, 460 nt
Filed under: uncultured bacterium
Lineage: Bacteria
Description: partial 16S ribosomal RNA
Rfam family: Bacterial small subunit ribosomal RNA
Source: RNAcentral
CCUACGGGAGGCAGCAGUGAGGAAUAUUGGUCAAUGGCCGGAAGGCUGAACCAGCCAUGCCGCGUGAAGGUCAGUGCCCUAUGGGCGUUAAACUUCUUUUGUGCGGGAGCAAUAAUGGUCACGUGUGGCCAGACGAGAGUACCGUACGAAUAAGCAUCGGCUAACUCCGUGCCAGCAGCCGCGGUAAUACGGGGGAUGCAAGCGGUAUCCGGGUUUAUUGGGGUUAAAGGGUGCGUAGGCUGUGAGGUAAGUCAUCGGGGAAAUGCCCCCGCUCAACGGGGUGAAGUGCCAUUGAUACUGGCUUUCUGGAAUGCGGAUGCGGUGGGCGGAAUGUGUGGUGUAGCGGUGAAAUGCUUAGAUAUCACACAGAACACCGAUUGCGAAGGCAUCUCACGAAUCCGCGAUUGACGCUGAUGCACGAAAGCGUGGGUAUCAAACAGGAUUAGAUACCCGAGUAGUC